AUUGAACGCUGACGGCAUGCCUUACACAUGCAAGCCGAGCGGCAGCGCGGGGGCAACCCUGGCGGCGAGCGGUGAACGGGUGAGUAAUACAUCGGAACGUGUCCAGUAGCGGGGGAUAACCUGUCGAAAGAUAGGCUAAUACCGCAUACGACCUAAGGGUGAAAGCGGGGGACCGCAAGGCCUCGCACUAUUGGAGCGGCCGAUGUCGGAUUAGCUAGUUGGCGGGGUAAAAGCCCACCAAGGCGACGAUCCGUAACUGGUCCGAGAGGACGAUCAGCCACACUGGAACUGAGACACGGCCCAGACUCCUACGGGAGGCAGCAGUGGGGAAUUUUGGACAAUGGGGGCAACCCUGAUCCAGCCAUGCCGCGUGAGUGAAGAAGGCCUUCGGGUUGUACAGCUCUUUCGGCGGGGACGAAACGGUUCGUGACAACACCACGGACUAAUGACAGUACUCGCAGAAGAAGCACCGGCUAACUACGUGCCAGCCGCCGCUGUAA
Molecule: ribosomal RNA, 500 nt
Filed under: uncultured bacterium
Lineage: Bacteria
Description: partial 16S ribosomal RNA
Rfam family: Bacterial small subunit ribosomal RNA
Source: RNAcentral